ACCAGACUUCAGUUCGGCAUUGUAACAGACUUCAGUGAGAAAAUUCUCACCUUCGAUGGGCACUGGCAAGCUGGAGAAGUGUGCUCUUCACAGAUGAAUCCCGGUUUCAACUGUAUUGGGCAGAUGGCAGACAGCGUGUAUGGCGUUGUGUGGGCGAGCGGUUUGCUGAUGUCAAUGUUGUGAACAGAGUUCCCCAUUGUGGCGGUGGGGUUAUGGUAUGUGCAGGCAUAUGCUACGGACAACGAACACAAUGUCAUUUUAUCGAUGGCAAUUUGAACGUACAGAGAUAACGUGACGAGAUCCUGAGUCCCAUUGUCGUGCUAUUCAUCCGCCAAACGCACUGUCCCUUGUUACAAGCAUUUGUACACAAUACGUCUAAGAGCUGAAAAUGGCCUGCAUAUUCAGACAUGUCACCCAUUGAGCAUGUUUGGGAUGUUCUGGAUCGACAGCGUGUUCCAGUUUCCACCAAUAUCCAACAACUUCAGCUUCUCUCCUAUCACAGCCAUUAUACUCUGUUUUAAAGUCACCAUUGGCCUCAUGCUGAAAUCCCUGAGUUGGUUUCCUUCCUCUCUGGCAACAGUCAGGAAGGACACAUGUAUCUGAGUAGUGACUAAGUGUAUUGAUACACCAUCCAAAGUGUAAUGAAAAACAUCAGCAUGCUCAAAGGGAUAUUCAAUGUCUGCUUUAAUUUUAUUACCCAUCUACCAAUAUGUUCCUUUUUUUGCAAGGAAUUGGUGAUUGAAACAGUUUGAAAUUCACAGCUUGACUGAGGGACCUUACAGAUCAUUUUUAUGUGAGGGGUACAGAGAUGAUGUCCAUGCAGCUUACUCUGACUUGUUUCUGAACUUAUUUAGGUUUGCCAUAUUGCUUAUUUACUCAAGAUAUUUCAGUGUUAAGUCAUUUGUAAACAUUUCAAAAACCAUAAUUCCCAUUUUAAAUGAUGGGGUUUAUGUGUAUGCCAGUGAAAAGAAAGCUACAUUGUAUCCAUUUUAAAUUCAGGCUGUAACAACAAAAUGUGGAAAAAGUUAAGAGAUGUGAAUACUGAAAGCAACUGUAUGGAGGAAACAGGCAAUCACUUUUUUAAACAGCCUGCUUGAGAUUCAAGCUUGAGGUGGGGUUUUUAUAUAAUUUAUGCUUUUGGCCACCAACACAAGUAAAGGACAAGUCAACAACAUUAUUUGGCUACGAGUUAACAGAUUAUGAACUUUUAAGUGAGAUUUUCACUGGACAGUUACUUAUUUAGAGCUCAGAGUUAGAAUGACUAGUCUAUAGGCCUACAUUAGUCAAGGAAACACCAAUCAGAAGGAUAUUCCAAUUUAGCAGCAUUUUAGUGGGUGUUCUGUCAAGAGAAAUGAGUCAUUAGGCCAGUGUUUCCCAAACUCGGUCCUGGGGAGGGGUGCACGUUUUGGUUUUUGCCCUAGCACUACACAGCCGAUUCAAAUAAUCAAAGCUUGAUGAUUACUUUAUUUGAAUCAGCUGGCAAAACCCCAAAACUUGCACCCAGUUGGGUCCCAAGGAUCGAGUUUGGGAAUAGCUGCAUAAAAGGCUCUGCAUGGUCAAUCGGACUUCUGCAGUGACCUUACAGCAUUUACUGCGAUACGGUCUCUACACAAGUUAGGGCAUUCAUACUUAUUGUGCUUCGCAGAACUGUUAUGAAGGAGGUUGUCAAGGUAGUAAGUAUGUGUUUAUACUGGACCUACCGUCAACCAAUCAGGUCAAUGCGGAGCUACAUGAAGCACUCAGCAUUGUUACAAAAUUUGAGAGGCGCACUGCGAUGCCGUACAGAACUCAAUUUGGCCUGUGUGCCUCCGGAGGCUUCGCAAAUGCAUCACACCCUCCAUACGGAGCCUCCGACCACAUACAGAUCAAGCAUCAAUUUGCUUUUAGGUUACGUGGGAUAUUUCCGCACUAGACAUGUCUCAAUGAAAAGUCCAAGAAGUGACUAAGGUGUUACUGAUUUUUCAGACCUACGCUGCAUUCAUACGCCAGUCUGAACUAGGAAACGCGGAAAUUUGACUUGCUGAUUAGUUUAACGCCACACGUACAAGUCGGAAAUGUUCGACUUCCGACUAGCAUGUGAACAAGGCACUGACGAACCAAAAUCAACCAAUGUGUUAUCUGAGAAUGCUAAUUAACGCUACACAUUAAUUACGGGACUAUUUAAUGUGCUAUUCGGAACAAGGGAACUAUAUCCAGUCUGAAAUGUCAGUUCCUAGUUCCGACGAGGUCAUUAAUACCGCAACUGACAGCGAAGGUCAUCUUUUACCGCCACCACUGCUCGUCUUUCACAUCUCUCUCAAAGUCUACCUCGGAACCACAAGGAGCAACUCAGCGCAGCAGGAAUGUUCAUUCAUACCAUUGAGAAUAUUCCAAUAGGGGCAGCGCACACCGUAUGGUCCAAAUUGCUUGUUGGAAUUUGCGUUUUACAAAUUCAGGCUAUCCCCAUUUGUCUUUAGGCUUUCUACAAAUAACUUUCGCUUGUAUUGGCAUGUCAUAUAUAUUAAGCACUAAAUUAAGCGCUAAACUAAAUUAAGCAACAACUGUGAAAUUAAUUCUGAUGAGGGUGACAAUUUGAUCCAUUGCGAAGAGAAUGUUCAGAUAAACGUUAAAUGUUUGGAAAUAUUCCUUGCAAAUAGAACAGAUUAAUCAUUACACAAAUUGACCUCCGUCAUUUGGACUUGUUUGAAAGAUGAUCCAAGCAGUUAACAUAGUCCCACCCACUAGUAACUAUAUCGAAAUGGAUAUGUUGCAAAUUAAUUAAUGCCGCGAGCAAGAGACGAGGCGAGAACUGUGUCGCUGCAAUUCAGAAAGUAAACAUUUGGAUAUGCCUAAAUAGGAAAUUGAAUACAACAAUCGCUUACACGUUUGAGAUGAAAACUGCAGUGAAUUAAAUCCAGCACAAAUUGAAGGAAGUAUUACUCCAUGGCUUGCUGUGUGAAUGAAUGCUGAAGCUGGGAUGCCUUUUGGUCCAAUGACUCGCGAGUAAAAAGAGGAAAUGGCACUCAACCGGCAGUGACGUGGUAAAAAACGUAGACAAUUCCAGGUGGUACGGCGAAAUAUUGAAAUAAUUUAAGAACUGGAGACUGCGUGCAACAUAUCCGACCGUUGUUUUCAAGCUGCCAAACAUCACCCGCCUACCUACUACAGAGGAGGAGGAGACAACAGACCAGGUGCCUGGUGAAGAUCUCUGGGCUUGUCUAAGUAACUGACUGACACGGCUCCCUCUCUGUGCCAUCGAAGCUCCCUCCUCGUAAACUACUGCCCAGCCUUCCUGAACUGCCUGUCUGAACAACACAUUAUCUGUGGAAGACCAAGACCAUUUGUUUGUUUUUACAGGGUCUUUGAGAUUCUCUUGAAUGAAAAGCGCAGAAUAAAAUAAAUGUAUUACUAUUAGCGCACAGGGAGCAGCGCAACCAGCGGCGACGUCAUCCAAAAACAUGACAUUGUUUGGAUGAAUAUAAAAUGUUAAUAUCUUCGUUGUGAGUGAUACAUUUUUUUUUUGGUCCUCAGCGUCAAUUAUUUGAAUAAUUGAAUGGGUGUUUUGUGCACUAAGUCAUGACUAAAGUGUGUUAUUAGGACUUUUAAAAUCUGACUUCUCUAGGGCUCCCCUCUAAGGCAUUGCAUCUGUGCUAGAGGCGUCACUACAGACACCCUGGUUUGAAUACAGGCUGUAUCGCAACCAGCUGUGAUUGGGAGUCCCAUAUGGUGGUGCACAAUUGGCCCAAGCGUCGUCCGGAUUUGGCCGGUAUAGGCCGCCAUUGUAAAUAUGAAUUUGUUCUGAACUGACUUGCCUAGUUAAAUAAUAAACAAAUGUGGCCAUCUACAGUA
Oncorhynchus keta (chum salmon) is the source of this 3828-nucleotide long non-coding RNA. RefSeq lists it as uncharacterized. The transcript has 2 exons. The record is from RefSeq and is a predicted model, not a curated record. NCBI's taxonomy places the organism in Eukaryota, Metazoa, Chordata, Actinopteri, Salmoniformes, Salmonidae.